This 71-nucleotide transfer RNA is filed under the name Tulasnella calospora. RNAcentral's name for it is "tRNA-Gly". It matches the Rfam family "tRNA". Rfam says of the family: Transfer RNA (tRNA) molecules are approximately 80 nucleotides in length. Lineage: Eukaryota; Fungi; Basidiomycota; Agaricomycetes; Cantharellales; Tulasnellaceae. The record is from RNAcentral. RNAcentral also lists the same sequence under 7 other names.
ACAAGUAUAGUUAAGUGGUAUAACUUCUGUCUUCCAAAUAGAAAUCAUCAGUUCGAAUCUGAUUACUUGUA